AAGGUUAACCUGCCCACUGAAUUAUUAAAUGGCCGCAGUAAUUUGACUGUGCAAAGGUAGCAUAAUCAUUAGUUUUUUAAUUAAAAGCUUGUAUGAAUGGUUGGACGAAAUAAGAACUGUCUUUAGAUAAUAAAUAGAAUUUAAUUUUUAAGUUAAAAAGCUUAAAUAGUUAUAAAAGACGAGAAGACCCUAUAGAUCUUUAUAAUAUUUUAUAUGUAUUUAAUUAAGAUUAUUUUAUUAUUUAUAUAAAAUAUUAUUUUAUUGGGGUAAUAAAAAGAUUAAAUUAAUUCUUUAUGAUUUAUAUAUAGAUUAAUAAAUUUUUGAUCCUCUAUUAGAGAUUUAAGAUUAAGUUACCUUAGGGAUAACAGCGUAAUUUUUUUGAAGAGUUCAUAUCGAUAAAAAAGUUUGCGACCUCGAUGUUGGAUUAAAAAUUAUUCCAGGUGUAGAAGUUUGGAAUUUUGGUCUGUUCGACCAUUGAAUUUUUACAUGAUCUGAGUUCAGACCGGUGUAAGCCAGGUCGGUUUCUAUCUUUAUUAAAUUAAUAUAUUUUAGUACGAAAGGACCAAAUAUAUAGUAUAUUAAAUAUUUUUAUUUUUGAAUUAUA
This 604-nucleotide ribosomal RNA is filed under the name Paroster extraordinarius. RNAcentral describes it as "partial 16S ribosomal RNA". It matches the Rfam family "Bacterial large subunit ribosomal RNA", at positions 1896 to 2733 of the family's 2925-position model. The record is from RNAcentral. Lineage: Eukaryota; Metazoa; Arthropoda; Insecta; Coleoptera; Dytiscidae.